CAUAUUAAUCAAUUAACAUGCAUACAAUACAAUAUAACCUUUAUAUCAUACAUUUUAAUGCAUGAACAUGUUAACCUAUGGUGGGAUUUUAAAUCUAUAUGACAUUCAAAAUGCACAUACAAAUUUAAAGUAAUUUAAUCAUACAUCACAUGCAUAAAUAAAAAAAAAAAACACCCUAAAAUGGACUGAUUUUUGGCUCCUAAAUUAAGCUAAGUACUAAAUUAUUACAUAAUUAAUUUGGUGUAGUACAGAACCACUCCCAAAAACUUCGAACCGGCUGAAAAACCAACCGAAACCGCUUGAACCGGCCCAAAAACCAAAUUUAUUGGCUUGAACCGGCCCAAUUAAC
RNAcentral lists this long non-coding RNA (349 nucleotides) under Cucumis sativus (cucumber). RNAcentral's name for it is "long non-coding RNA (CSAT_LNC003147)". Lineage: Eukaryota; Viridiplantae; Streptophyta; Magnoliopsida; Cucurbitales; Cucurbitaceae. The record is from RNAcentral.